GAAAUGCGAUAAGUAGUGUGAAUUGCAGAAUUCAGUGAAUCAUCGAAUCUUUGAACGCACAUUGCGCCCUUUGGUAUUCCUUAGGGCAUGCCUGUUCGAGCGUCAUCUAAACCUUCAAGCCCUGCUUGGUGUUGGGUGCCUGUCCCGCCUCCGCGCGCGGACUCACCUCAAAUCCAUUGGCGGCCCCCGCGUCGGCCACGAGCGCAGCAGAAACGCGAACUCGUGAGCCCGUCCGGGCGGCUCCCAGAAGCUACACCCACCCAGUUUGACCUCGGAUCAGGUAGGGAUACCCGCAGAACUUAAGC
RNAcentral lists this unclassified non-coding RNA (305 nucleotides) under plant metagenome. RNAcentral describes it as "partial contains 5.8S ribosomal RNA, internal transcribed spacer 2, and large subunit ribosomal RNA". The stretch from base 1 to 105 matches the Rfam family "5.8S ribosomal RNA", at positions 50 to 154 of the family's 154-position model. The record is from RNAcentral.